Camellia sinensis is the source of this 484-nucleotide non-coding RNA. The record is from RefSeq and is a predicted model, not a curated record. Lineage: Eukaryota; Viridiplantae; Streptophyta; Magnoliopsida; Ericales; Theaceae.
AGUUGAAGUAGAGCCUUUCUAAAUUGGGGAAGGGUUAUGUAGAGAAAGUGGAAAGCUCAAUAGGUUAAUUUUGGCGCUCAUCUCAAUUAGAUAAUUAAUGGAUAUAUGUGGAGCCAUAUUUGUACAAUGCAGAAAAUAUGGUCAGUCAUAUGAUAGUCAUGGCUGUGUAAUGUUCUUUUAAGGCAAGAACAUUAACUGUGUGAAUGUCUCCGGAGCAGCUUACAAGAAGGAUGAAGAGAUUAAACUAAGAAAGGUCAUUGAUGAUGAAUCUUCUUCUGAACUAUUGACAAUGGAGGAGGCUGUUCUUUUGUCCCGUCAAAUUUGUAGUUGGCUGUACUAGUUUUGUUUUUAUUUUAUUUCUGGAGGGUUACAUAGCUAUUCCCAUGAACCACAAAUUUUCACUCCGAUACAGAAAACAAAAGAGUUGUAAAUUAAUUAAGGUUAUCUUUGGAGUUUGCUUAAAGCUUGUGUUCAUCAAAGUGCU